Molecule: ribosomal RNA, 2904 nt
Filed under: Escherichia coli
Lineage: Bacteria; Pseudomonadati; Pseudomonadota; Gammaproteobacteria; Enterobacterales; Enterobacteriaceae
Description: 23S ribosomal RNA
Rfam family: Bacterial large subunit ribosomal RNA
Source: RNAcentral
GGUUAAGCGACUAAGCGUACACGGUGGAUGCCCUGGCAGUCAGAGGCGAUGAAGGACGUGCUAAUCUGCGAUAAGCGUCGGUAAGGUGAUAUGAACCGUUAUAACCGGCGAUUUCCGAAUGGGGAAACCCAGUGUGAUUCGUCACACUAUCAUUAACUGAAUCCAUAGGUUAAUGAGGCGAACCGGGGGAACUGAAACAUCUAAGUACCCCGAGGAAAAGAAAUCAACCGAGAUUCCCCCAGUAGCGGCGAGCGAACGGGGAGCAGCCCAGAGCCUGAAUCAGUGUGUGUGUUAGUGGAAGCGUCUGGAAAGGCGCGCGAUACAGGGUGACAGCCCCGUACACAAAAAUGCACAUGCUGUGAGCUCGAUGAGUAGGGCGGGACACGUGGUAUCCUGUCUGAAUAUGGGGGGACCAUCCUCCAAGGCUAAAUACUCCUGACUGACCGAUAGUGAACCAGUACCGUGAGGGAAAGGCGAAAAGAACCCCGGCGAGGGGAGUGAAAAAGAACCUGAAACCGUGUACGUACAAGCAGUGGGAGCACGCUUAGGCGUGUGACUGCGUACCUUUUGUAUAAUGGGUCAGCGACUUAUAUUCUGUAGCAAGGUUAACCGAAUAGGGGAGCCGAAGGGAAACCGAGUCUUAACUGGGCGUUAAGUUGCAGGGUAUAGACCCGAAACCCGGUGAUCUAGCCAUGGGCAGGUUGAAGGUUGGGUAACACUAACUGGAGGACCGAACCGACUAAUGUUGAAAAAUUAGCGGAUGACUUGUGGCUGGGGGUGAAAGGCCAAUCAAACCGGGAGAUAGCUGGUUCUCCCCGAAAGCUAUUUAGGUAGCGCCUCGUGAAUUCAUCUCCGGGGGUAGAGCACUGUUUCGGCAAGGGGGUCAUCCCGACUUACCAACCCGAUGCAAACUGCGAAUACCGGAGAAUGUUAUCACGGGAGACACACGGCGGGUGCUAACGUCCGUCGUGAAGAGGGAAACAACCCAGACCGCCAGCUAAGGUCCCAAAGUCAUGGUUAAGUGGGAAACGAUGUGGGAAGGCCCAGACAGCCAGGAUGUUGGCUUAGAAGCAGCCAUCAUUUAAAGAAAGCGUAAUAGCUCACUGGUCGAGUCGGCCUGCGCGGAAGAUGUAACGGGGCUAAACCAUGCACCGAAGCUGCGGCAGCGACGCUGAUGCGUUGUUGGGUAGGGGAGCGUUCUGUAAGCCUGUGAAGGUGUACUGUGAGGUAUGCUGGAGGUAUCAGAAGUGCGAAUGCUGACAUAAGUAACGAUAAAGCGGGUGAAAAGCCCGCUCGCCGGAAGACCAAGGGUUCCUGUCCAACGUUAAUCGGGGCAGGGUGAGUCGACCCCUAAGGCGAGGCCGAAAGGCGUAGUCGAUGGGAAACAGGUUAAUAUUCCUGUACUUGGUGUUACUGCGAAGGGGGGACGGAGAAGGCUAUGUUGGCCGGGCGACGGUUGUCCCGGUUUAAGCGUGUAGGCUGGUUUUCCAGGCAAAUCCGGAAAAUCAAGGCUGAGGCGUGAUGACGAGGCACUACGGUGCUGAAGCAACAAAUGCCCUGCUUCCAGGAAAAGCCUCUAAGCAUCAGGUAACAUCAAAUCGUACCCCAAACCGACACAGGUGGUCAGGUAGAGAAUACCAAGGCGCUUGAGAGAACUCGGGUGAAGGAACUAGGCAAAAUGGUGCCGUAACUUCGGGAGAAGGCACGCUGAUAUGUAGGUGAAGUCCCUCGCGGAUGGAGCUGAAAUCAGUCGAAGAUACCAGCUGGCUGCAACUGUUUAUUAAAAACACAGCACUGUGCAAACACGAAAGUGGACGUAUACGGUGUGACGCCUGCCCGGUGCCGGAAGGUUAAUUGAUGGGGUUAGCGCAAGCGAAGCUCUUGAUCGAAGCCCCGGUAAACGGCGGCCGUAACUAUAACGGUCCUAAGGUAGCGAAAUUCCUUGUCGGGUAAGUUCCGACCUGCACGAAUGGCGUAAUGAUGGCCAGGCUGUCUCCACCCGAGACUCAGUGAAAUUGAACUCGCUGUGAAGAUGCAGUGUACCCGCGGCAAGACGGAAAGACCCCGUGAACCUUUACUAUAGCUUGACACUGAACAUUGAGCCUUGAUGUGUAGGAUAGGUGGGAGGCUUUGAAGUGUGGACGCCAGUCUGCAUGGAGCCGACCUUGAAAUACCACCCUUUAAUGUUUGAUGUUCUAACGUUGACCCGUAAUCCGGGUUGCGGACAGUGUCUGGUGGGUAGUUUGACUGGGGCGGUCUCCUCCUAAAGAGUAACGGAGGAGCACGAAGGUUGGCUAAUCCUGGUCGGACAUCAGGAGGUUAGUGCAAUGGCAUAAGCCAGCUUGACUGCGAGCGUGACGGCGCGAGCAGGUGCGAAAGCAGGUCAUAGUGAUCCGGUGGUUCUGAAUGGAAGGGCCAUCGCUCAACGGAUAAAAGGUACUCCGGGGAUAACAGGCUGAUACCGCCCAAGAGUUCAUAUCGACGGCGGUGUUUGGCACCUCGAUGUCGGCUCAUCACAUCCUGGGGCUGAAGUAGGUCCCAAGGGUAUGGCUGUUCGCCAUUUAAAGUGGUACGCGAGCUGGGUUUAGAACGUCGUGAGACAGUUCGGUCCCUAUCUGCCGUGGGCGCUGGAGAACUGAGGGGGGCUGCUCCUAGUACGAGAGGACCGGAGUGGACGCAUCACUGGUGUUCGGGUUGUCAUGCCAAUGGCACUGCCCGGUAGCUAAAUGCGGAAGAGAUAAGUGCUGAAAGCAUCUAAGCACGAAACUUGCCCCGAGAUGAGUUCUCCCUGACCCUUUAAGGGUCCUGAAGGAACGUUGAAGACGACGACGUUGAUAGGCCGGGUGUGUAAGCGCAGCGAUGCGUUGAGCUAACCGGUACUAAUGAACCGUGAGGCUUAACCUU